AGAGUUUGAUCAUGGCUCAGGAUGAACGCUAGCUACAGGCUUAACACAUGCAAGUCGAGGGAAACGACAUCGAAAGCUUGCUUUUGAUGGGCGUCGACCGGCGUACGGGUGAGUAACGCGUAUCCAACCUGCCCACCACUUGGGGAUAACCGUUGCGAAAGUAAGACUAAUACCCAAUGAUAUCUCUAGAAGACAUCUGAAAGAGAUUAAAGAUUUAUCGGUGAUGGAUGGGGAUGCGUCUGAUUAGCUUGUUGGCGGGGUAACGGCCCACCAAGGCAACGAUCAGUAGGGGUUCUGAGAGGAAGGUCCCCCACAUUGGAACUGAGACACGGUCCAAACUCCUACGGGAGGCAACA
This 356-nucleotide ribosomal RNA is filed under the name uncultured bacterium. RNAcentral describes it as "bacterial SSU rRNA". It matches the Rfam family "Bacterial small subunit ribosomal RNA", at positions 8 to 353 of the family's 1533-position model. The record is from RNAcentral.